This 74-nucleotide transfer RNA is filed under the name Bacteroidota bacterium. RNAcentral's name for it is "tRNA-His". It matches the Rfam family "tRNA". Rfam says of the family: Transfer RNA (tRNA) molecules are approximately 80 nucleotides in length. Their secondary structure includes four short double-helical elements and three loops (D, anti-codon, and T loops). Further hydrogen bonds mediate the characteristic L-shaped molecular structure. tRNAs have two regions of fundamental functional importance: the anti-codon, which is responsible for specific mRNA codon recognition, and the 3' end, to which the tRNAs corresponding amino acid is attached (by aminoacyl-tRNA synthetases). tRNAs cope with the degeneracy of the genetic code in two manners: having more than one tRNA (with a specific anti-codon) for a particular amino acid; and 'wobble' base-pairing, i.e. permitting non-standard base-pairing at the 3rd anti-codon position. Lineage: Bacteria; Pseudomonadati; Bacteroidota. The record is from RNAcentral. RNAcentral also lists the same sequence under 2 other names.
GCCGACGUAGCUCAGUUGGUUAGAGCACCAGAUUGUGGAUCUGGGGGUCACUGGUUCGAGCCCAGUCGUCGGUA